Molecule: long non-coding RNA, 594 nt
Organism: Capsicum annuum
Lineage: Eukaryota; Viridiplantae; Streptophyta; Magnoliopsida; Solanales; Solanaceae
Exons: 3
Source: RefSeq, a predicted model, not a curated record
AGAAAACCCUAAGCUUAUUCUAUUCAACAACAACCGCAUCUCUCUACUUUCUCUCUCUUUCUCCCCUCUUUCUCUCUGCCGCCGCCGCCGCCGCCGCCGCCGCCGCCGCCACCGCAACACCGGUUAUCGACCGAAAAAACAACGGCAACAUCAACCCCGACAACCUCCAAGUUGCGUCUCCGCUCCCCCACCACACUGUCGCCUGUCGGUCAACCGUCAAAUACCACAUCCCAAGACCACCGUCAAAUAUGGAACAAGCUCCUCAAGACACGGAAGCGGCUAGAGCUUCUUCUUGAGGAUCUUCCGUGUGACCAUGAUCCUUGGGAUUAUUAUGAAACAUCAGAUCAGCUUUUGGAACCACUGCUGCUGUGCUAUGACUCACUGAUGAAACCUGAUUAUAGUUGGAUAUAUCAACGAAAUAUUGAUAGUAGAAUGGGUGAGGCUGAGAAUGAGGAUGCGGAUGAUGAGUCGUAGUUUUUAGUCUUUUGUAUGUUUUGUAGUUUGAAUUUGGAACCUCGAUAAAUUUUGUAAAUAAUUUAAUUUUUAAUGUUUGUAUUCUUAUGGUGGUUGAUUGUAUAUUAAAUGAUUGGUGGA